RNAcentral lists this long non-coding RNA (492 nucleotides) under Capsella rubella. RNAcentral describes it as "long non-coding RNA (CRUB_LNC004153)". Lineage: Eukaryota; Viridiplantae; Streptophyta; Magnoliopsida; Brassicales; Brassicaceae. The record is from RNAcentral.
CAAAAUAUGUGAAAUGAAGAGUUGCUAUAAGACCUUUGUUUUGAUGAGUAUAGUUUCAUAAUCAUCAUAGAUUUUUAUAGGAGUUGAGAAUUGGAGAAAGAAUAAUAUUAUUUACACAUUUUAAAAUUUUAUUUUUUGUAUCAUAGUAAUUUAAUAUGAAUGAAAGUUAAGGAUCUCGUGGGUAAUAAUCAAGUCGGACAAAAAAAAAACCAGUGGUUGGGUUUUGUUUUUUUUAAAGAGAAGAUAAAGUUUGAUUAUUUUUUUUAUUUUUUUUUUUUUUUUUUUUUGGUAGUGCUUUUUUUAUUUUUUAUUUGUCUUUAUAAAGUUUGAUUAAUGGAAUGGUGCAAAACAAAAACGUGCAAAUCUGACCAAAGAUUCCUAAAAUAAUUGGAACUAGAUAAACGCAAGAUGUGGGAAUAUUUUUUAUUUUUCUGUGUUAAUAAGACUUAAACUAGUUUUAUAUUUUGCCUUCGUAACCAAGAUGUGUACACA